CAGUAGCCGCGGGAAUACGAAGGGUGCAAGCGUUACUCGGAAUUACUGGGCGUAAAGGGUGCGUAGGUGGUUUUUUAAGUCCGUUGUGAAAUCCCUGGGCUCAACCUGGGAAUGGCAGUGGAUACUGGAAAGCUAGAGUGCGGUAGAGGGUAGUGGAAUUCCCGGUGUAGCAGUGAAAUGCGUAGAGAUCGGAAGGAACGCCCGUGGCGAAAGCGGGCUCCUGGACACCACCUGACGCUGAGACGCGAAAGCCAGGGGAGCGAACGGGAUUAGAGACCCACGUAGUCCCUGUCUCUUAUAC
RNAcentral lists this ribosomal RNA (301 nucleotides) under uncultured bacterium. Its description in RNAcentral is "partial 16S ribosomal RNA". It matches the Rfam family "Bacterial small subunit ribosomal RNA", at positions 509 to 807 of the family's 1533-position model. The record is from RNAcentral.